GGAUGCGAUCAUACCAGCACUAGAGCACCGGAUCCCAUCAGAACUCCGAAGUUAAGCGUGCUUGGGCGAGAGUAGUACUAGGCUGGGUGACCUCCUGGGAAGUCCUCGUGUUGCAUUCCC
RNAcentral lists this ribosomal RNA (120 nucleotides) under Secale cereale subsp. vavilovii. The record is from RNAcentral. Lineage: Eukaryota; Viridiplantae; Streptophyta; Magnoliopsida; Poales; Poaceae.